RNAcentral lists this ribosomal RNA (776 nucleotides) under uncultured Enterococcus sp. RNAcentral's name for it is "bacterial SSU rRNA". It matches the Rfam family "Bacterial small subunit ribosomal RNA", at positions 28 to 776 of the family's 1533-position model. Lineage: Bacteria; Bacillati; Bacillota; Bacilli; Lactobacillales; Enterococcaceae. The record is from RNAcentral.
GACGAACGCUGGCGGCGUGCCUAAUACAUGCAAGUCGAACGCUUUUUCUUUCACCGAGACUUGUCUCACCGAAAGAAAAAGAGUGGCGAACGGGUGAGUAACACGUGGGUAACCUGCCCUCGAGAAGGGGAUAACACUUGGAAACAGGUGCUAAUACCGUAUAACAAUAACUGCCGCAUGGCAGAUAUUUGAAAGGCGCUUUUGCGUCACUCGAGGAUGGACCCGCGGUGCAUUAGCUAGUUGGUGAGGUAACGGCUCACCAAGGCGACGAUGCAUAGCCGACCUGAGAGGGUGAUCGGCCACACUGGGACUGAGACACGGCCCAGACUCCUACGGGAGGCAGCAGUAGGGAAUCUUCGGCAAUGGACGAAAGUCUGACCGAGCAACGCCGCGUGAGUGAAGAAGGUUUUCGGAUCGUAAAACUCUGUUGUUAGAGAAGAACAAGGAUGAGAGUAGAACGUUCAUCCCUUGACGGUAUCUAACCAGAAAGCCACGGCUAACUACGUGCCAGCAGCCGCGGUAAUACGUAGGUGGCAAGCGUUGUCCGGAUUUAUUGGGCGUAAAGCGAGCGCAGGCGGUUCUUUAAGUCUGAUGUGAAAGCCCCCGGCUCAACCGGGGAGGGUCAUUGGAAACUGGAGAACUUGAGUGCAGAAGAGGAGAGUGGAAUUCCAUGUGUAGCGGUGAAAUGCGUAGAUAUAUGGAGGAACACCAGUGGCGAAGGCGGCUCUCUGGUCUGUAACUGACGCUGAGGCUCGAAAGCGUGGGGAGCAAACAGG